AUGAAACUUCAUCAAUUGAUAGUAUUGGUGAGAGAGCAUAUGGCACUUGUUGAUGGCUAUUGUACAAGUGGAAGGAUCGACGAUGGGUUGAUUCUAUUUAGAGAUUUUCUUCACAAGAGAAUCAAACCUACAACUAUUACAUAUAACAUCAUACUGGAUGGGUUAUUUCGUGCUGGGAGAACAUUUGUUGCCAAAAAGAUGUUCCAUGAGAUGAUCGGAAGUGGAACACCCGUGAGCCUGCACACAUACAAUAUAAUUCUUGGAGGUCUUUGUAGGAAUAAUUGUGCUGAUGAAGUGAUCACCAUGUUCCAGAAAUUACGUGCAAUGAAUAUGAAGUUGAAUAUUGCAAUACUCAAUACCAUGAUUAGUGCAAUGUUCAAGGUUCGGAGAAGAGAAGAAGCUAAUGAUUUGUUUGCUGUAAUAUCAGCCUGUGCAUUGGUACCCAAUGCCUCUACCUACAUG
This 462-nucleotide ribosomal RNA is filed under the name Triticum aestivum (bread wheat). Its description in RNAcentral is "partial small subunit ribosomal RNA". Lineage: Eukaryota; Viridiplantae; Streptophyta; Magnoliopsida; Poales; Poaceae. The record is from RNAcentral.